GAUGAAGAACGCAGCGAAAUGCGAUAAGUAAUGUAAAUUGCAGAAUUCAGUGAAUCAUCGAAUCUUUGAACGCACAUUGCGCCCCUUGGUAUUCCGAGGGGCAUGCCUGUUCGAGCGUCAUUAUAACCCCUCAAGCUCAGCUUGGUGUUGGGGCCUGCUGCACUGGCAGCCCUUAAAAUCAGUGGCGGCGCCAUCUGGCUCUAAGCGUAGUAAUUCUUCUCGCUAUGGAGUCCUGGUGGAUGCUUGCCAUCAACCCCCAAUUUUUCUAUGGUUGACCUCGGAUCAGGUAGGGAUACCCGCUGAACUUAAGCAUAUCAAUAAGCGGAGGA
RNAcentral lists this unclassified non-coding RNA (329 nucleotides) under soil metagenome. RNAcentral's name for it is "partial contains 5.8S ribosomal RNA, internal transcribed spacer 2, and large subunit ribosomal RNA". The stretch from base 1 to 120 matches the Rfam family "5.8S ribosomal RNA", at positions 35 to 154 of the family's 154-position model. The record is from RNAcentral.